This is a long non-coding RNA of Oryzias melastigma (Indian medaka), 391 nucleotides long. RefSeq lists it as uncharacterized. The record is from RefSeq and is a predicted model, not a curated record. The transcript is spliced from 3 exons. NCBI's taxonomy places the organism in Eukaryota, Metazoa, Chordata, Actinopteri, Beloniformes, Adrianichthyidae.
UAACUUCCCUAAGUAGUAUAACUUAUUGUCUGCUUUAUAUUUUAGUAUUCAUGCUGCUAGAGAGGACAGGUCACUUGGAAGACUAAUAAAUGAUAAUGAAGUGAGCCUAAACAUAAAAAUGACCAUUACCAGAGUGAAUGGAGAACCCCAUGUCUGUUUAUUUGAAAUCAAGGAUAUUGCUCCUGGGGAAGAAAUCACCUAUAAUUAUGGUGACUCCGAAUGGCCAUGGAGAAUCAAGUCAUCUCAGAAAUCCAAAGAAAAGCUAAGUCCAUCUGCAGAAGAGAAUCCAUCCAGGUCCUCUCCAGAAGACACACCUCAGCAAUCCAAAGUAAAGCCAAGUCCAUCUGCAGAAGAGAAUCCAUCCAGGUCCUCUCCAGAAGACACAAAUAAG